UUUCUACAAGUACAUUUGAACAUGGAAAUAUCUUAUGGCCACUAUGGCAAUAUUAAAAAAUUACUGUAUCCAAAAUGUCAGCGUUUCUUUAGACUAUAGACUCUUAAUGGAAAGAUUUCGUAGUAAGGAAGGAAAAACAUGCAUCGUAAGAUGUGACAUGAAAGUGAAAUGAGAGACUUUUGAACCAAUCACCUCAUUUUCAAGAAAUUUGCUUCAGUUAUAUUGAAACCAUGCAAGUUAGCCUAAUGUAAUCUUAUCUGGUAAUCAGUAUAAAUGAAUAAUCUUAACAUUUCUCCACUUUUUGUGCAUAUGCCUCUGAAGUUUCUUACUAAAAGAUUAAGUAAAAUUUUGGACCCAGCAUGCACUUAUUCUUACUCUCUUUCAAGCUGAUUCACAAAGGAGAAUGCUCAACAGUCUUCUAUGACCCAGUAGGCAUAGCAGGCCAGAAGUACUGAGAAGAAAGUGCUGGCCUGCAAUCUGUCCUUCCCUAUAUGGUUCCCAAGGUUUGCGGGCUCUUCUCCGUCUGAUGGUGUGUUGCUGCCACCUAUCGCCACGUUUGAAUAGUUCGCUACAAAACAGACUUGCACAACAUAUUGCAGAUGUUCAUCCACAGUAAAUCAGAUUCUCCAAAGGUAAGCGCCAUAAAAAGCAGAGCCUUCGAUUUGUUCUCCAGCAUGGCCUCUGAAAUAGUCUGGUCCACAGAAGACUUUCAUUCAAUGACCAAAUAAUCUCUGUUCUGCCACUAGUGUCAUUCUGUGAUCUC
This 763-nucleotide long non-coding RNA is filed under the name Homo sapiens (human). RNAcentral describes it as "HSALNT0192468". Lineage: Eukaryota; Metazoa; Chordata; Mammalia; Primates; Hominidae. The record is from RNAcentral.